GCUCAAAUUUAAAAUCUGGCGGCUUCGCUGUCCGAGUUGUAAUUUAGAGAAGCGAUGCCCGCGCUGGACCGUGUACAAGUCUCCUGGAACGGAGCGUCGUAGAGGGUGAGAAUCCCGUCUUUGAUACGGACUACCAGUGCACUGUGGUACGCUCUCGAAGAGUCGUGUUGUUUGGGAAUGCAGCACUAAAUGGGUGGUAAAUUCCAUCUAAAGCUAAAUAUUGGCGAGAGACCGAUAGCAAACAAGUACCGUGAGGGAAAGAUGAAAAGAACUUUGGAAAGAGAGUUAAACAGUACGUGAAAUUGUUGAAAGGGAAACGCUUGAAGUCAGUCGCGUCGGUUGGGAAUCAGUCUCGCUCUCGGGCUUGACGUACUUUCCAGUCGACGGGUCAGCAUCAGUUUCGACCGCUGGACAAAGGCCGAGGGAACGUGGCACCUUUGGGUGUGUUAUAGCCCUCGGUUGCAUGCAGCGGUGGGGACUGAGGUUCUUCAGGCCGCAAGGCUGUAGGAUGCUGGCAUAAUGGCUUUAAUCGACCCGUCUUGAAACACGGACCAAGGAGUCUAACAUGCCUGCGAGUAUUCGGGUGGCAAACCCGUGUGCGCAAUGAAAGUGAAAGUUGAGAACUCUUCAGAGUGCAUCGACGCCCGGACCUGACGUUUACUGACGGAUCCGCGGUAGAGCAUGUAUGUUGGGACCCGAAAGAUGGUGAACUAUGCCUGAAUAGGGCGAAGCCAGAGGAAACUCUGGUGGAGGCUCGCAGCGAUUCUGACGUGCAAAUCGAUCGUCGAAUUUGGG
Molecule: ribosomal RNA, 795 nt
Filed under: Physalacria sinensis
Lineage: Eukaryota; Fungi; Basidiomycota; Agaricomycetes; Agaricales; Physalacriaceae
Description: eukaryotic LSU rRNA
Rfam family: Eukaryotic large subunit ribosomal RNA
Source: RNAcentral